AUUGAACGCUGGCGGCAGGCCUAACACAUGCAAGUCGAGCGGAGCGGCGGGCGGGUGAGUAAUACCUAGGAAUCAGACUGGUAGUUGGGGGUGGAGUUCGGAAAGGAACGCUAAUACCUCCUACUUGCAGCUGAGCCUAGGUGGGAUUAGCUAGUUGGUGGGGUAGUGGCCCACCAACGCUACGAUCCCUAACUGGGCUGAGAGGAUGAUCAGUCACACUGGAACUGAGACACGGUCCAGACUCCUACGGGAGGCAGCAGUGGGGAAUAUUGGACAAUGGGCGAAAGCCUGAUCCAGCCAUGCCGCGUGUGUGAAGAAGGUCUUCGGAUUGUAAAGCACUUUAAGCUGGGAGGCGUUACCGACAGAAUAAGCACCGGCUAACUCCGUGCCAGCCGCCGCGGUAAUUC
RNAcentral lists this ribosomal RNA (407 nucleotides) under uncultured bacterium. Its description in RNAcentral is "partial 16S ribosomal RNA". It matches the Rfam family "Bacterial small subunit ribosomal RNA", at positions 30 to 526 of the family's 1533-position model. The record is from RNAcentral.